GAUGAACGCUGGCGGCGUGCCUAAUACAUGCAAGUCGAGCGAACAGACGAGGAGCUUGCUCCUCUGACGUUAGCGGCGGACGGGUGAGUAACACGUGGAUAACCUACCUAUAAGACUGGGAUAACUUCGGGAAACCGGAGCUAAUACCGGAUAAUAUAUUGAACCGCAUGGUUCAAUAGUGAAAGACGGUUUUGCUGUCACUUAUAGAUGGAUCCGCGCCGCAUUAGCUAGUUGGUAAGGUAACGGCUUACCAAGGCAACGAUGCGUAGCCGACCUGAGAGGGUGAUCGGCCACACCGAACCUAAGACACGGUCGAGACUCCUACGGGAGGCAGCAGUAGGGCAUCUUCCGCAAUAGGCGAAAGCCUGACGGAGCAACGCCGCGUGAGUGAAGAAGGUCUUCGGAUCGUAAAACUCUGUUAUUAGGGAAGAACAAAUGUGUAAGUAACUAUGCACGUCUUGACGGUACCUAAUCAGAAAGCCACGGCUAACUACGUG
RNAcentral lists this ribosomal RNA (497 nucleotides) under uncultured bacterium. RNAcentral's name for it is "partial 16S ribosomal RNA". It matches the Rfam family "Bacterial small subunit ribosomal RNA", at positions 28 to 507 of the family's 1533-position model. The record is from RNAcentral.